RNAcentral lists this long non-coding RNA (1681 nucleotides) under Cyanistes caeruleus (blue tit). RNAcentral's name for it is "lncRNA (ENSCCEG00000009974.1)". Lineage: Eukaryota; Metazoa; Chordata; Aves; Passeriformes; Paridae. The record is from RNAcentral.
AAAUAAGAAAAAAAUAAUUAACAUUAAUUUCAAUUUUUAAGCAAGAAUUGAAAAAAAAUAUAUGCUAAAAUAUUUAAGGAAAAAUUUGUUUGGUAGAGAAUUUAACACAUAAAAGACAAUUUGGAGAGUUUUACUGCUGCUAUACAACAACAUGUAUCUUACUGUGAAACAGAUUGCAUGAACGAAGUGGAUGUGAAAAAAAUGCUAUUUGUACCACUGUCAUUGUUAACUAUACAUGUAUUAUAAAUUAAAUGCCAGGUUAAUAUUAAUCAAAUCAUAAUUUUUGUGUUUUAGAAAUAAUAUCACUUUCUAAAGCUAAACUUUCUAAACACUUGCAUCAUUGCCUAGUCGGUCAAUAAUUGCAUUUGGGAUAAAGGCCUAAAAUUAUGUCCUGAUAUUUACAUGUGCAGCUACCUUUGUUGCAAAUAGCAUUUACACUAUUAAUAAUGAGGGUGAAAAAAGCUACACCAUAAGCAAUGCAUCAGAAGCAGAACUCAGAUUAUAGACAUCAUGACCACUGAUAUAUGCUAUAAUAUUUUUUAACUUCCUACAGAAAUAGUGUAUUUCUGUGUCUCUCACUGUCUCUCAUAGCUGCUACCUUGCAGCUAGAACAUGAUACAAGGCAUGGGUUUCCAAAGGUUGCUUUAAAAAUUAACCAGCAAGUUGCAAUAAUUUCUAGUGAAAAGACAAAAUCUAACAUUAACUCUAAAUGAAUGCAUAAAAUUGACAAAUUAGAUUUGGCCAUUGUGAACUGAGACGCUUCAAUUAAAUACUUCCUCCUUAAUUUGCAUAAAUUUUUAUGCUGCAACAUGUUUUGGCAUAUUUUUCCCUCUUCUUUUCCUCUUGAUACAUUUCUUAUUGCCAAUGUAAAAUUUAUUUCCUUUUUCAGGUGGCAUAAGGAAGAGGGGAACUUGAAUGUGGAGAAGGGCAGUUCUGGCAAUAAGAUGAAAUGGGCAGAAAAAACUUUCUUUGAUUUAAAAUUCAAUGUAAGGAGACUGAAGAUAACCCUGAAUGAAACUGGAAGAAAGCAUGCGUUUCCUGGUAAAAAUGAGAAGCUAAUACAUUUGCAAAAUUCUUCUGUGUCCUUCUCAGGCGGCUUAGGCUGUUCGGAAGACCAGAUGAAUUGUGUGAGGUUGAGUAUUAGCUCUCGCUUCAGAACACACCAGCCUGGACUGAGAAGUUAACAUUGUUUUAAGCAAACUGCAGUGGCAGUACAGCAUGAGCAACUCGUAUAUAAAGACAGGUGCUGACUUCAGAAUGAGGAGAAAGGUGAGUGUGCAGAGGGUAAGUAUUGAGCACAAGAACAAACAGGACAAUACUGCAUGACACUGUGUAUUAAAACUACUGGUUACAUACUUUUCCUAGUUUUCUUUUUCCAGUCUUGUGUGAAAAGUCUUGCUGGCAGUAAGGAUGGAGUAAAAUCUGGGAAAAGCUAGGCACCUCUGAUUCAUUUGCAUCUUGUUUGUCAACCAGAGACUUUGAGAUGUUGUAUUUCACAAGAUUUCCCUAGCGAUCAAACACAGAAAAACAUAAUUCCCAAGGAUUUAACAUUCUCAGACAAGAGCUGGUCUGGGUCCUUAAUGCAUUAUUCAGUAAAAAAGGCAGUGUAAGCGAGUGAAUGAAUUUGUCCAGUCAAGUCUGUAAUAAUAAAAAAGGCACAAGAAUAAGUUUUUUACUUUUG